CUCAUUUUUUAGGGUUUUUCCCUUUCCUCUUCUCCAUUUCGGUGCCUCCAUUUCUGCUCUUCCCUUCCCUUCCCUUCCCAGUUUCAUUUUCUUUGUUCUUCGUUUGUUGUCCAUUGUUACAUACUUGUCUUCUUUUUUCCCGAUCUUCUGAAUCUCCUCACUAUUAAUUCGUCUCUUACUCCUUGUUUGGGGAUAUGGCUACAAAGCGCCACCAAUUACAGGUUUACGCUUGGCUGCUUCCACGCCAUCUUUGGCAACAAUGAAAUGAUUGUCGGUAUUCAGAGAAAGACGCGAUAGUGGUGGA
Molecule: long non-coding RNA, 304 nt
Organism: Spinacia oleracea (spinach)
Lineage: Eukaryota; Viridiplantae; Streptophyta; Magnoliopsida; Caryophyllales; Amaranthaceae
Exons: 3
Source: RefSeq, a predicted model, not a curated record